GACGAACGCUGGCGGCGUGCUUAACACAUGCAAGUCGAGCGGUAAGGCCCUUUCGGGGGUACACGAGCGGCGAACGGGUGAGUAACACGUGGGUGACCUGCCCUUAGCUCUGGGAUAAGCCUGGGAAACUGGGUCUAAUACCGGAUAUGACCUCACAGCGUAUGUUGUGGGGUGGAAAGCCUUGUGCGGCUAGGGAUGGGCCCGCGGCCUAUCAGCUUGUUGGUGGGGUGAUGGCCUACCAAGGCGACGACGGGUAGCCGGCCUGAGAGGGCGACCGGCCACACUGGGACUGAGACACGGCCCAGACUCCUACGGGAGGCAGCAGUGGGGAAUCUUGCGCAAUGGGCGAAAGCCUGACGCAGCGACGCCGCGUGAGGGAUGACGGCCUC
This 389-nucleotide ribosomal RNA is filed under the name uncultured bacterium. RNAcentral's name for it is "bacterial SSU rRNA". It matches the Rfam family "Bacterial small subunit ribosomal RNA", at positions 28 to 418 of the family's 1533-position model. The record is from RNAcentral.